This 569-nucleotide ribosomal RNA is filed under the name Naganishia albida. Its description in RNAcentral is "eukaryotic LSU rRNA". The stretch from base 144 to 297 matches the Rfam family "5.8S ribosomal RNA". Lineage: Eukaryota; Fungi; Basidiomycota; Tremellomycetes; Filobasidiales; Filobasidiaceae. The record is from RNAcentral.
UCGAGCUUUGCUCACAGGCACAUUCAUAUCCCAUAACACCUGUGCACUUGUCGGAUGGCUUAGUGAAGACCGCAAGGUUGAAUCUAUCCAUCUACUUUACAUAACAAUUCUGUAACAAAUGUAGUCUUAUUAUAACAUAAUAAAACUUUCAACAACGGAUCUCUUGGCUCUCGCAUCGAUGAAGAACGCAGCGAAAUGCGAUAAGUAAUGUGAAUUGCAGAAUUCAGUGAAUCAUCGAAUCUUUGAACGCACCUUGCGCUCCUUGGUAUUCCGAGGAGCAUGCCUGUUUGAGUGUCAUGAAAACCCUCAACCCUAGAUUGGUUAAAACCUUUCUUUGGUUUGGAUUUGGACGUUUGCCGAUGAUAAGUCGGCUCGUCUUAAAAGUAAUAGCUGGAUCUGUCUCGCGACAUGGUUUGACUUGGCGUAAUAAGUAUUUCGCUAAGGACAUCUUCGGAUGGCCGCGUUGCAGGACUAAAGACCGCUUUCUAAUCCAUUGAUCUUCGGAUUAAUACUCUUGACAUCUGGCCUCAAAUCAGGUAGGACUACCCGCUGAACUUAAGCAUAUCAUA